AUUGAACGCUGGCGGCAGGCCUAACACAUGCAAGUCGAGCGGAGCGGCGGACGGGUGAGUAAUGCCUAGGAAUAUGCCUGGUAGUGGGGGAUAACGUCCGGAAACGGGCGCUAAUACCGCAUACUAUCAGAUGAGCCUAGGUCGGAGUAGCUAGUUGGUGGGGUAAAGGCCUACCAGGGCGACGAGCCGUAACUGGUCGGAGAGGAUGAUCAGUCACACUGGAAGUGGGACACGGUCAAGACUCCUCCGGGGGGCAGCAGUGGGGAAUAUUGGACAAUGGGCGAAAGCCUGAUCCAGCACUGCCGCGUGUUUGAAGAAGGUCUUCGGAUUUUAAAGCACUUUAAGUUGGAAGGCGUUACCAACAGAAUAAGCACCGGCUAACUUCGUGCCAGCAGCCGCGGUAAUUC
RNAcentral lists this ribosomal RNA (407 nucleotides) under uncultured bacterium. RNAcentral's name for it is "partial 16S ribosomal RNA". It matches the Rfam family "Bacterial small subunit ribosomal RNA", at positions 30 to 526 of the family's 1533-position model. The record is from RNAcentral.